UACAGAGGUCCCGAGCGUUGUUCGGAUUCAUUGGGCGUAAAGGGUGCGUAGGCGGUCUUCUAAGUUUGAUGUGAAAUCCCGGGGCUCAACCCUGGAAUUGCAUUGAAUACUGGAGGACUAGGGUACCGGAGAGGAAACUGGAAUUUACGGUGUAGCAGUGAAAUGCAUUGAGAUCGGAAAGAACACCAACGGCGAAAGCACUCUGCUGGGCCGACACUGACACUGAGAGACGAAAGCAUGGGGAGCAAACAGG
Molecule: ribosomal RNA, 253 nt
Filed under: uncultured bacterium
Lineage: Bacteria
Description: partial 16S ribosomal RNA
Rfam family: Bacterial small subunit ribosomal RNA
Source: RNAcentral